AAGGCACCGCUAGAGAAAAACCAUGAAGCACUAGACUCGCAAGGCGGGAGAAGCGCUGUACUCGACGCAAUGGAAUUAAUCGAUCCCAAGGCGAGUGAACAAGUUCUGGAGCUCAUUGUCAAAAUAGCGGAACAUCCGGCUAUUUGAAAACAGAUCCAUCGAGUCUUGGAAACUCUGGAAGCGAACAAUGCCGCCUACUCUCAAAGGAUUGAUGCCACUCGCAGUGAAUUAGGUUGGAUAAAUAAAAGAUUGGAU
This is a long non-coding RNA of Daphnia pulicaria, 255 nucleotides long. RefSeq lists it as uncharacterized. The transcript has 3 exons. The record is from RefSeq and is a predicted model, not a curated record. Lineage: Eukaryota; Metazoa; Arthropoda; Branchiopoda; Diplostraca; Daphniidae.